GACGAACGCUGGCGGCGUGCUUAACAUAUGCAAGUCGAACGAUGAAGCCGGAGCUUGCUCCGGUGGAUUAGUGGCGAACGGGUGAGUAACACGUGAGCAAUCUGCCCUUGACUCUGGGAUAACUGCGGGAAACUGUAGCUAAUACCGGAUACGACACCUUGGGGAAUCCCAGGGUGUGGAAAGAAUUUCGGUCAAGGAUGAGCUCGCGGCCGAUCAGCUAGUUGGUGAGGUAAUGGCUAACCAAGGCGACGACGGGUAGCCGGCCUGAGAGGGUGACUGGCCACACUGGAACUGAGACACGGUCCAGACUCCUACGGGAGGCAGCAGUGGGGAAUAUUGCACAAUGGGCGAAAGCCUGAUGCAGCAACGCCGCGUGAGGGAUGAAGGCCUUCGGGUUGUAAACCUCUUUUAGCAGGGAAGAAGCGAAAGUGACGGUACCUGCAGAAAAAGCACCGGCUAACUACGUGCCAGCCGCCGCAGUAA
Molecule: ribosomal RNA, 483 nt
Filed under: uncultured bacterium
Lineage: Bacteria
Description: partial 16S ribosomal RNA
Rfam family: Bacterial small subunit ribosomal RNA
Source: RNAcentral